UACGUAGGGUGCGAGCGUUGUCCGGAAUUACUGGGCGUAAAGAGCUCGUAGGCGGCUUGUCGCGUUGUUCGUGAAAAUUUACCGCUCAACGGUGAACUUGCGGGCGAUACGGGCAGGCUAGAGUACUGCAGGGGAGACUGGAAUUCCUGGUGUAGCGGUGAAAUGCGCAGAUAUCAGGAGGAACACCGGUGGCGAAGGCGCACAUCUGGCCCGAUACUGACGCUGAGGCGCGAAAGCUAGGGGAGCAAACGGG
RNAcentral lists this ribosomal RNA (253 nucleotides) under uncultured bacterium. RNAcentral's name for it is "partial 16S ribosomal RNA". It matches the Rfam family "Bacterial small subunit ribosomal RNA", at positions 524 to 776 of the family's 1533-position model. The record is from RNAcentral.